GGUCGAAACGAGAAAGAGGUUGCUUGCAACCUUGAGUAGAGUGGCGCACGCCCUUAAAAACACGUAGAUAAUCUACCUUCAAGCCUGGAAUAACCCUUCGAAAGGGUAGCUAAUACCGGAUAAAGUUGAUCAACAUAAGUUGGUUCAUGAAAGAUUGCCUCUUCUUGAAAGCNAUUGUUUGGAGAUGAGUCUGCGGACCAUUAGUUUGUUGGUGGGGUAAAGGCCUACCAAGACUGCGAUGGUUAGCUGGUCUGAGAGGAUGAUCAGCCACACUGGAACUGACACACGGUCCAGACUCCUACGGGAGGCAGCAGUGAGGAAUUUUGCGCAAUGGGGGAAACCCUGACGCAGCAACGCCGCGUGAGUGAAGAAGGCCCUUGGGUCGUAAAGCUCUGUCGACAGGGAAGAAAUUAACAUCAUCCAAUAGGUGUUGUUAUUGACGGUACCUGUAGAGGAAGCACCGGCUAACUCCGUGCCAGCAGCCGCGGUAACACGGGGGGUGCAAGCGUUAUUCGGAAUUAUUGGGCGUAAAGGGCGCGUAGGCGGUCUUGUCGGUCAGAUGUGAAAGCCCGGGGCUCAACCCUGGAAGUGCAUUUGAAACAGCAAGACUUGAAUACUGGAGAGGAGAGAGGAAUUCCUGGUGUAGAGGUGAAAUUCGUAGAUAUCAGGAGGAACACCGAUGGCGAAGGCAUCUCUCUGGACAGAUAUUGACGCUGAGGCGCGAAGGCGUGGGUAGCGAACAGGAUUAGAUACCCUGGUAGUCCACGCAGUAAACGUUGUUCACUCGGCGUGGCGGAAUCUUAAAAUCUGCUGUGCCUUAAGCUAACGCAUUAAGUGAAACCGCCUGGGGAAUACGGGUCGCAAGACUAAAACUUCAAAGGGAAUUGACGGGGGGCCCCGCACAAGCGGG
RNAcentral lists this ribosomal RNA (910 nucleotides) under uncultured delta proteobacterium. RNAcentral's name for it is "bacterial SSU rRNA". It matches the Rfam family "Bacterial small subunit ribosomal RNA", at positions 60 to 933 of the family's 1533-position model. Lineage: Bacteria; Deltaproteobacteria. The record is from RNAcentral.